CCCUUAGAUGUUCUGGGCCGCACGCGCGCCACACUGAUGAAUUCAACGAGCACUAACCUGUGCAGAAAUGUUCGGGUAAUCUUGUGAAAUUUCAUCGUGAUGGGGAUUGAUUAUUGCAAUUAUUAAUCAUAAACGAGGAAUGCCUAGUAAGCGUGAGUCAUCAGCUCACGUUGAUUACGUCCCUGCCCUUUGUACACACCGCCCGUCGCUCCUACCGAUUGAAUGUGCUGGUGAAAAGUUCGGAUUGGGAAUAGGAGACGGCAACGUAUCCUGUUUCUGAGAAAAUCUUUAAACCCUCCCAUUUAGAGGAAGGAGAAGUCGUAACA
This 326-nucleotide ribosomal RNA is filed under the name uncultured eukaryote. RNAcentral's name for it is "partial 18S ribosomal RNA". It matches the Rfam family "Eukaryotic small subunit ribosomal RNA", at positions 1470 to 1796 of the family's 1831-position model. The record is from RNAcentral.